Molecule: ribosomal RNA, 326 nt
Filed under: Coccinella septempunctata (seven-spotted ladybird)
Lineage: Eukaryota; Metazoa; Arthropoda; Insecta; Coleoptera; Coccinellidae
Description: partial 16S ribosomal RNA
Source: RNAcentral
UAUAAUUUAAAGUAGGGCCUGCCCACUGAAGUAUUAAAGGGCCGCAGUAUUUUGACUGUGCAAAGGUAGCAUAAUCAUUAGUUUUUUAAUUGAAAGCUUGUAUGAAUGGUUUGAUGAGAAAAUAACUUUCUAUAUUUAAAUUUUUAAAAAUUUUAUUUUUAAGUUAAAAAGCUUAAAUUUUUUUAAUAGACGAGAAGACCCUAUAGAGUUUUAUUAUAUUAAUUUUUUAAAUUUUUAGAAUUUAAAAAUUUUAAUUUUUAAUAUAAUUUGGUUGGGGUGACUGAAAAAUUAAAUAAACUUUUUUUAUAUUAUUACAUAGAUUUAUG